RNAcentral lists this transfer RNA (70 nucleotides) under Oryzias javanicus (javanese ricefish). RNAcentral describes it as "tRNA-Pro". It matches the Rfam family "tRNA". Rfam says of the family: Transfer RNA (tRNA) molecules are approximately 80 nucleotides in length. Their secondary structure includes four short double-helical elements and three loops (D, anti-codon, and T loops). Further hydrogen bonds mediate the characteristic L-shaped molecular structure. tRNAs have two regions of fundamental functional importance: the anti-codon, which is responsible for specific mRNA codon recognition, and the 3' end, to which the tRNAs corresponding amino acid is attached (by aminoacyl-tRNA synthetases). tRNAs cope with the degeneracy of the genetic code in two manners: having more than one tRNA (with a specific anti-codon) for a particular amino acid; and 'wobble' base-pairing, i.e. permitting non-standard base-pairing at the 3rd anti-codon position. Lineage: Eukaryota; Metazoa; Chordata; Actinopteri; Beloniformes; Adrianichthyidae. The record is from RNAcentral.
CAAAGAAUAGUUAAACUUAGAAUCCUGGCUUUGGGAGUCAGGGGUAGAGGUUAGAGUCCUCUUUCUUUGA